This 61-nucleotide transfer RNA is filed under the name Dipodomys ordii (Ord's kangaroo rat). It matches the Rfam family "tRNA". From Rfam's summary of the family: Transfer RNA (tRNA) molecules are approximately 80 nucleotides in length. Lineage: Eukaryota; Metazoa; Chordata; Mammalia; Rodentia; Heteromyidae. The record is from Rfam by way of RNAcentral.
GGUGGCUCAGUGGUAGAGUGCUUGCCUUGCAUGCAUGAGGCCCUGGGAUUCCCCAGCACCA